Molecule: ribosomal RNA, 588 nt
Filed under: Candida tropicalis
Lineage: Eukaryota; Fungi; Ascomycota; Pichiomycetes; Serinales; Debaryomycetaceae
Description: eukaryotic LSU rRNA
Rfam family: Eukaryotic large subunit ribosomal RNA
Source: RNAcentral
AGGGGAAUUGGCCCUUUAGGUAGCGGCGAGUGAAGCGGCAAAAGCUCAAAUUUGAAAUCUGGCUCUUUCAGAGUCCGAGUGUAAUUUGAAGAAGGUAUCUUUGGGUCUGGCUCUUGUCUAUGUUUCUUGGAACAGAACGUCACAGAGGGUGAGAAUCCCGUGCGAUGAGAUGAUCCAGGCCUAUGUAAAGUUCCUUCGAAGAGUCGAGUUGUUUGGGAAUGCAGCUCUAAGUGGGUGGUAAAUUCCAUCUAAAGCUAAAUAUUGGCGAGAGACCGAUAGCGAACAAGUACAGUGAUGGAAAGAUGAAAAGAACUUUGAAAAGAGAGUGAAAAAGUACGUGAAAUUGUUGAAAGGGAAGGGCUUGAGAUCAGACUUGGUAUUUUGUAUGUUACUUCUUCGGGGGUGGCCUCUACAGUUUAUCGGGCCAGCAUCAGUUUGGGCGGUAGGAGAAUUGCGUUGGAAUGUGGCACGGCUUCGGUUGUGUGUUAUAGCCUUCGUCGAUACUGCCAGCCUAGACUGAGGACUGCGGUUUAUACCUAGGAUGUUGGCAUAAUGAUCUUAAGUCGCCCGUCUUGAACCACCGGACCA